UAACUUAGUGGCGGACGGGUGAGUAACGCGUGAGAAUCUGCCUUCAGGACGGAGACAACAGUUGGAAACGACUGCUAAGCCCCGAUGAACCGAAAGGGAAAAUAUUUAUAGCCUGAAGAUGAGCUCGCGUCCGAUUAGCUAGUUGGGGGGUAAAGGCCCACCAAGGCGACGAUCGGUAGCUGGUCUGAGAGGACGAUCAGCCACACUGGGACUGAGACACGGCCCAG
This 227-nucleotide ribosomal RNA is filed under the name uncultured bacterium. RNAcentral describes it as "partial 16S ribosomal RNA". It matches the Rfam family "Bacterial small subunit ribosomal RNA", at positions 88 to 334 of the family's 1533-position model. The record is from RNAcentral.